RNAcentral lists this small RNA (731 nucleotides) under Pongo abelii (Sumatran orangutan). RNAcentral's name for it is "processed transcript". The record is from RNAcentral. Lineage: Eukaryota; Metazoa; Chordata; Mammalia; Primates; Hominidae.
CCACACCCCGGGAUCGGUGGAGGAAGAUGCUUUGCUCUGUGGACCUGUGAGCAAGCAUAAGCCGCCAAACCAAGGUGAGGACAGACGAGUGCCACAAAACUGGUUUCCUAUCUUCAAUCCAGAGAGAAGUGAUAAACCAAAUGCAAGUGAUCCUUCAGUUCCUUUGAAAAUCCCCUUGCAAAGGAAUGUGAUACCAAGUGUGACCCGAGUCCUUCAGCAGACCAUGACAAAACAACAGGUUUUCUGGUUGGAGAGGUGGAAACAGCGGAUGAUUCUGGAACUGGGAGAAGAUGGCUUUAAAGAAUAUACUUCAAGGGCAAGCUGUGUGUGAUUGAUUGGAAGACAUCAGAGAAACCAAAGCCUUUUAUUCAAAGUACAUUUGACAACCCACUGCAAGUUGUGGCAUACAUGGGUGCCAUGAACCAUGACACCAACUACAGCUUUCAGGUUCAAUGUGGCUUAAUUGUGGUGGCCUACAAAGAUGGAUCACCUGCCCACCCACAUUUCAUGGAUGCGGAGCUCUGUUCCCAGUACUGGGCCAAGUGGCUUCUUCGACUAGAAGAAUAUACGGAAAAGAAAAAGAACCAGAAUAUUCAGAAACCAGAAUAGGGAACAGGAUGCUAUUUGGGAACAUUCAGCACCUUCUCACAGUUUGGGAACAUAUAUUGCCGUUUACUCCAGUGUAAAAAUGAGUUGCCACUGGAUCUGAGUGCUACACGAACACAAGUAGA